RNAcentral lists this ribosomal RNA (465 nucleotides) under uncultured bacterium. Its description in RNAcentral is "bacterial SSU rRNA". It matches the Rfam family "Bacterial small subunit ribosomal RNA", at positions 338 to 795 of the family's 1533-position model. The record is from RNAcentral.
CCUACGGGCGGCAGCAGUGGGGAAUAUUGCACAAUGGGCGCAAGCCUGAUGCAGCCAUGCCGCGUGUAUGAAGAAGGCCUUCGGGUUGUAAAGUACUUUCAGCGGGGUGGAAGGGAGUAAAGUUAAUACCUUUGCUCAUUGACGUUACACGCAGAAGAAGCACCGGCUAACUCCGUGCCAGCAGCCGCGGUAAUACGGAGGGUGCAAGCGUUAAUCGGAAUUACUGGGCGUAAAGCGCACGCAGGCGGUUUGUUAAGUCAGAUGUGAAAUCCCCGGGCUCAACCUGGGAACUGCAUCUGAUACUGGCAAGCUUGAGUCUCGUAGAGGGGGGUAGAAUUCCAGGUGUAGCGGUGAAAUGCGUAGAGAUCUGGAGGAAUACCGGUGGCGAAGGCGGCCCCCUGGACGAAGACUGACGCUCAGGUGCGAAAGCGUGGGGAGCAAACAGGAUUAGAUACCCGCGUAGUC